AACGAACGCUGGCGGCAUGCCUAACACAUGCAAGUCGAACGAGAUCUUCGGAUCUAGUGGCGCACGGGUGCGUAACGCGUGGGAAUCUGCCCUUGGGUUCGGAAUAACAGUGAGAAAUUACUGCUAAUACCGGAUGAUGUCUUCGGACCAAAGAUUUAUCGCCCAGGGAUGAGCCCGCGUAGGAUUAGCUAGUUGGUGGGGUAAUGGCCUACCAAGGCGACGAUCCUUAGCUGGUCUGAGAGGAUGAUCAGCCACACUGGGACUGAGACACGGCCCAGACUCCUACGGGAGGCAGCAGUGGGGAAUAUUGGACAAUGGGCGAAAGCCUGAUCCAGCAAUGCCGCGUGAGUGAUGAAGGCCUUAGGGUUGUAAAGCUCUUUUACCAGGGAUGAUAAUGACAGAACCUGGAGGAUAAGCUCCGGCUAACUCCGUGCCAGCCGCCGCGGUAA
Molecule: ribosomal RNA, 449 nt
Filed under: uncultured bacterium
Lineage: Bacteria
Description: partial 16S ribosomal RNA
Rfam family: Bacterial small subunit ribosomal RNA
Source: RNAcentral